Molecule: long non-coding RNA, 199 nt
Filed under: Dunaliella salina
Lineage: Eukaryota; Viridiplantae; Chlorophyta; Chlorophyceae; Chlamydomonadales; Dunaliellaceae
Description: long non-coding RNA (DSAL_LNC000431)
Source: RNAcentral
GAAAAGAAAAGAAAAGAAAAGUCUACGCAAGCCAAAGGCCGCGUGCAUUAAGGGAAGAACCCCUAACAAAAGUUAGAGGCCUCACCAGGAGGCCCUCCACCUAAACUAGACAAAAGUAGCCUAGGAGAGAGCAAGAGACAGAACUAAUGGGGAUCUGGAGGAUUGCUAGCCAUGCCCCUGAGCGCUCGGACUCUCCUUC